UAAAUGAACUUAAAUUCAGCUUAGAAAAAUUUUUUAACAAACAAAGUAAAAAAUAAUAUUUUAAAGUUAAUUAAUAGAGGUUCAGCUCUAUUAAUAAAGGAUACAACCUAAAAUAAUGAAUAAUGAUUAUACUAAUUAAAGAAAUUAAUUACGUGGGCCUAAAAGCAGUCAUCAAAAUAAAAGCGUUAAAGCUUAAUUUAAUAAAUCUUAUUAUAACAGUAAAAUAAUCUUAAUUCAUCAAAACUAUUAAGUCAAUCUAUUUAAAUAGAUAUGAUUAUACUAGAAUGAGUAAUAAGAAAAUAUUCUCUUAGUGCAAGUGUAAAUCAGAACGAAUAUUUCACUGAUAAUUAACGAACCUCUUGAGGGUAAAAUAAUAUUUCACAAGAAAAACCUAUUUAACCCAUCGUCAACCCAACACAGGAGCACACUAGAAAGAUUAAAAAUAUAGGAAGGAACUCGGCAAACAUGAACUUCGCCUGUUUACCAAAAACAUCGCCUCUUGCAAUUAAGGUAUAAGAGGUCCUGCCUGCCCAGUGACACUAAGUUUAACGGCCGCGGUAUUAUGACCGUGCAAAGGUAGCGUAAUCACUUGUCUUUUAAAUGAAGACCAGUAUGAAUGGCAAGACGAAAGUUCAACUGUCUCCCUAAAUUAAUCAGUGAAAUUGAUCUUUCCGUGCAGAAGCGGAAAUAUAACUAUAAGACGAGAAGACCCUAUGGAGCUUUAAACAUAUAAUCAAUUGUAAAACAUAAAAAUCCAAAAGAUAAAAUAUAAAAUAAGGACAAUAUGAUUAGAAUUUUAGGUUGGGGCGACCACGGAGAAAAACAAAACCUCCGAGAUGAAGAGAAUAUCUUAAUUUAAGAACUACAGUUCUAAAAAAUAAAAUAUUUAACAUAAUUGAUCCAAUAUAUUGAUCAACGAACCAAGUUACCCUAGGGAUAACAGCGCAAUCCUCUCCAAGAGUCCCUAUCGACGAGGGGGUUUACGACCUCGAUGUUGGAUCAGGACACCCCAAUGGUGCAGCCGCUAUUAAAGGUUCGUUUGUUCAACGAUUAAAGG
RNAcentral lists this ribosomal RNA (1057 nucleotides) under Hynobius kuishiensis (Iyoshima salamander). RNAcentral's name for it is "partial 16S ribosomal RNA". It matches the Rfam family "Bacterial large subunit ribosomal RNA", at positions 861 to 2594 of the family's 2925-position model. The record is from RNAcentral. Lineage: Eukaryota; Metazoa; Chordata; Amphibia; Caudata; Hynobiidae.